RNAcentral lists this ribosomal RNA (1070 nucleotides) under Latilactobacillus sakei. RNAcentral's name for it is "bacterial SSU rRNA". It matches the Rfam family "Bacterial small subunit ribosomal RNA", at positions 44 to 1075 of the family's 1533-position model. Lineage: Bacteria; Bacillati; Bacillota; Bacilli; Lactobacillales; Lactobacillaceae. The record is from RNAcentral.
GGGCCUAUACAUGCAAGUCGAACGCACUCUCGUUUAGAUUGAAGGAGCUUGCUCCUGAUUGAUAAACAUUUGAGUGAGUGGCGGACGGGUGAGUAACACGUGGGUAACCUGCCCUAAAGUGGGGGAUAACAUUUGGAAACAGAUGCUAAUACCGCAUAAAACCUAACACCGCAUGGUGUAGGGUUGAAAGAUGGUUUCGGCUAUCACUUUAGGAUGGACCCGCGGUGCAUUAGUUAGUUGGUGAGGUAAAGGCUCACCAAGACCGUGAUGCAUAGCCGACCUGAGAGGGUAAUCGGCCACACUGGGACUGAGACACGGCCCAGACUCCUACGGGAGGCAGCAGUAGGGAAUCUUCCACAAUGGACGAAAGUCUGAUGGAGCAACGCCGCGUGAGUGAAGAAGGUUUUCGGAUCGUAAAACUCUGUUGUUGGAGAAGAAUGUAUCUGAUAGUAACUGAUCAGGUAGUGACGGUAUCCAACCAGAAAGCCACGGCUAACUACGUGCCAGCAGCCGCGGUAAUACGUAGGUGGCAAGCGUUGUCCGGAUUUAUUGGGCGUAAAGCGAGCGCAGGCGGUUUCUUAAGUCUGAUGUGAAAGCCUUCGGCUCAACCGAAGAAGUGCAUCGGAAACUGGGAAACUUGAGUGCAGAAGAGGACAGUGGAACUCCAUGUGUAGCGGUGAAAUGCGUAGAUAUAUGGAAGAACACCAGUGGCGAAGGCGGCUGUCUGGUCUGUAACUGACGCUGAGGCUCGAAAGCAUGGGUAGCAAACAGGAUUAGAUACCCUGGUAGUCCAUGCCGUAAACGAUGAGUGCUAGGUGUUGGAGGGUUUCCGCCCUUCAGUGCCGCAGCUAACGCAUUAAGCACUCCGCCUGGGGAGUACGACCGCAAGGUUGAAACUCAAAGGAAUUGACGGGGGCCCGCACAAGCGGUGGAGCAUGUGGUUUAAUUCGAAGCAACGCGAAGAACCUUACCAGGUCUUGACAUCCUUUGACACUCUAGAGAUAGAGCUUUCCCUUCGGGGACAAAGUGACAGGGGUGCAUGGUUGUCGUCAGCUCGUGCCGGGGAAUUU